RNAcentral lists this ribosomal RNA (253 nucleotides) under uncultured bacterium. RNAcentral describes it as "partial 16S ribosomal RNA". It matches the Rfam family "Bacterial small subunit ribosomal RNA", at positions 524 to 776 of the family's 1533-position model. The record is from RNAcentral.
UACAGAGGUGGCAAGCGUUGUUCGGAAUUACUGGGCGUAAAGGGCUCGUAGGCGGCCAACUAAGUCAGACGUGAAAUCCCUCGGCUUAACCGGGGAACUGCAUCUGAUACUGGAUGGCUUGAGUUCGGGAGAGGGAUGCGGAAUUCCAGGUGUAGCGGUGAAAUGCGUAGAUAUCUGGAGGAACACCGGUGGCGAAGGCGGCAUCCUGGACCGACACUGACGCUGAGGAGCGAAAGCCAGGGGAGCAAACGGG